Tupaia belangeri chinensis (Chinese tree shrew) is the source of this 390-nucleotide long non-coding RNA. RefSeq lists it as uncharacterized. Lineage: Eukaryota; Metazoa; Chordata; Mammalia; Scandentia; Tupaiidae. The record is from RefSeq and is a predicted model, not a curated record. The transcript is spliced from 3 exons.
CCAUCAUUGGCCUGGAAGAAACCUCAGGAAUAAACCAAGAGCGCGUAUCAUAAACCGGAUCAUUGCACCCGGAAAGAAGCGGCCACCCUACCAGGUCCGUCUCCACGGUAACCGGCGCUUUGCGACCUUGGGUUUGCAGCGAUCCCGCCUCUGCGGCUGCAGAGGUUGCUGGGCGACGGGAGAGGCUGCGACUAGAGGUAUCCAUGAAGACGAUACUGUGAGAAACACUGCUCUAACUGCCGACCCAUCUCAGGCAGGUCACAGAGCCCAUGCACGGGGCAUGGCAGCAGCUCCACUCGUCUAAGCUGGACACAGAGCACAGAUACAAGCUCUCUGUGCUGUCUUCAACACGACUUUUCCACCCACUUUCUUCCAUCAUGUCCCCUAAAU